UACGUGGGGGGCAAGCGUUGUUCGGAAUUACUGGGCGUAAAGGGCUCGUAGGCGGCCAACUAAGUCAGACGUUAAAUCCCUAGGCUCAACCUAGGAACUGCGUCUGAUACUGGAUGGCUUGAAUCCGGGAGAGGGAUGCAGAAUUCCAGGUGUAGCGGUGAAAUGCGUAGAUAUCUGGAGGAAUACCGGUGGCGAAGGCGGCAUCCUGGACCGGCAUUGACGCUGAGGAGCGAAAGCCAGGGGAGCAAACGGG
This 253-nucleotide ribosomal RNA is filed under the name uncultured bacterium. Its description in RNAcentral is "partial 16S ribosomal RNA". It matches the Rfam family "Bacterial small subunit ribosomal RNA", at positions 524 to 776 of the family's 1533-position model. The record is from RNAcentral.